RNAcentral lists this ribosomal RNA (472 nucleotides) under uncultured bacterium. RNAcentral's name for it is "bacterial SSU rRNA". It matches the Rfam family "Bacterial small subunit ribosomal RNA", at positions 27 to 507 of the family's 1533-position model. The record is from RNAcentral.
CGGACGAACGCUGGCGGCGUGCUUAACACAUGCAAGUCGAACGGUGAUCUUGAGAGCUUGCUCUUGGGUGAUCAGUGGCGAACGGGUGAGUAACACGUGAGUAACCUGCCCCUGACUCUGGAAUAACUUCGGGAAACCGAAGCUAAUACCGGAUACGAGACGGAGAGGCAUCUCUACCGUCUGGAAAGUUUUUCGGUCUGGGAUGGACUCGCGGCCUAUCAGCUAGUUGGUGAGGUAAUGGCUCACCAAGGCGACGACGGGUAGCCGGCCUGAGAGGGCGACCGGCCACACUGGGACUGAGACACGGCCCAGACUCCUACGGGAGGCAGCAGUGGGGAAUAUUGCACAAUGGGCGAAAGCCUGAUGCAGCGACGCCGCGUGAGGGAUGACGGCCUUCGGGUUGUAAACCUCUUUCAGCAGGGAAGAAGCGAAAGUGACGGUACCUGCGGAAGAAGCACCGGCUAACUACGUG